RNAcentral lists this ribosomal RNA (490 nucleotides) under uncultured bacterium. RNAcentral's name for it is "partial 16S ribosomal RNA". It matches the Rfam family "Bacterial small subunit ribosomal RNA", at positions 28 to 507 of the family's 1533-position model. The record is from RNAcentral.
GAUGAACGCUAGCUACAGGCUUAACACAUGCAAGUCGCGGGGCAGCAUGGGGGUUGCUUGCAAUCCCCGAUGGCGACCGGCGCACGGGUGAGUAACGCGUAUCCAACCUGCCCUUCACCACGGGAUAACCCGGCGAAAGUCGGACUAAUACCGUAUGUUGUCCAUUGACGGCAUCCGAUUUGGACGAAAGGUUUGGCGGGGAAGGAUGGGGAUGCGUCCGAUUGGCUGGACGGCGGGGUGACGGCCCACCGUGGCGACGAUCGGUAGGGGUGCUGAGAGGAAGGUCCCCCACACUGGAACUGAGACACGGUCCAGACUCCUACGGGGGGCAGCAGUGAGGAAUAUUGGGCAAUGGGCGUAAGCCUGAACCAGCCAAGUAGCGUGCAGGAUGACGGCCCUAUGGGUUGUAAACUGCUUUUAUGCGGGGAUAAAGUGGCCCACGUGUGGGUUUUUGCAGGUACCGCAUGAAUAAGGACCGGCUAAUUCCGUG